UCACACGCAAGAGAUUAAGGUUG
This 23-nucleotide non-coding RNA is filed under the name Arabidopsis thaliana (thale cress). Lineage: Eukaryota; Viridiplantae; Streptophyta; Magnoliopsida; Brassicales; Brassicaceae. The record is from RNAcentral.